GUGGAAUAACCCUCCUCUCCUCUCUCUCUACUAAUAGAAACCCUAGUAAGAGGUGGAAUAACCCUCCUCUCUCUCUCUCUACUAAUAGAAACCCUAGUAAGAGGUGGAAUAACCCUCCUCUCUCUCUCUACUAAUAGAAACCCUAGUAAGAGGUGGAAUAACCCUCCUCUCUCUCUCCACUAAUAGAAACCCUAGUAAGAGGUGGAAUAACCCUCCUCUCUCUCUCUACUAAUAGAAACCCUAGUAAGAGGUGGAAUAACCCUCCUCUCUCUCUACUAAUAGAAACCCUAGUAAGAGGUGGAAUAACCCUCCUCUCUCUCUCUACUUAUAGAAACCCUAGUAAGAGGUGGAAUAACCCUCCUCUCUCUCUACUAAUAGAAACCCUAGUAAGAGGUGGAAUAACCCUCCUCUCUCUCUACUAAUAGAAACCCUAGUAAGAGGUGGAAUAACCCUCCUCUCUCUCUACUAAUAGAAACCC
This is a non-coding RNA of Salmo salar (Atlantic salmon), 478 nucleotides long. NCBI's taxonomy places the organism in Eukaryota, Metazoa, Chordata, Actinopteri, Salmoniformes, Salmonidae. The record is from RefSeq and is a predicted model, not a curated record.